GGAUUAAGAGCUUGCUCUUAUGAAGUUAGCGGCGGACGGGUGAGUAACACGUGGGUAACCUGCCCAUAAGACUGGGAUAACUCCGGGAAACCGGGGCUAAUACCGGAUAACAUUUUGAACUGCAUGGUUCGAAAUUGAAAGGCGGCUUCGGCUGUCACUUAUGGAUGGACCCGCGUCGCAUUAGCUAGUUGGUGAGGUAACGGCUCACCAAGGCAACGAUGCGUAGCCGACCUGAGAGGGUGAUCGGCCACACUGGGACUGAGACACGGCCCAGACUCCUACGGGAGGCAGCAGUAGGGAAUCUUCCGCAAUGGACGAAAGUCUGACGGAGCAACGCCGCGUGAGUGAUGAAGGCUUUCGGGUCGUAAAACUCUGUUGUUAGGGAAGAACAAGUGCUAGUUGAAUAAGCUGGCACCUUGACGGUACCUAACCAGAAAGCCACGGCUAACUACGUGCCAGCAGCCGCGGUAAUACGUAGGUGGCAAGCGUUAUCCGGAAUUAUUGGGCGUAAAGCGCGCGCAGGUGGUUUCUUAAGUCUGAUGUGAAAGCCCACGGCUCAACCGUGGAGGGUCAUUGGAAACUGGGAGACUUGAGUGCAGAAGAGGAAAGUGGAAUUCCAUGUGUAGCGGUGAAAUGCGUAGAGAUAUGGAGGAACACCAGUGGCGAAGGCGACUUUCUGGUCUGUAACUGACACUGAGGCGCGAAAGCG
Molecule: ribosomal RNA, 709 nt
Filed under: Bacillus cereus
Lineage: Bacteria; Bacillati; Bacillota; Bacilli; Caryophanales; Bacillaceae
Description: bacterial SSU rRNA
Rfam family: Bacterial small subunit ribosomal RNA
Source: RNAcentral